This 642-nucleotide long non-coding RNA is filed under the name Capsicum annuum. RNAcentral describes it as "long non-coding RNA (CANN_LNC010627)". Lineage: Eukaryota; Viridiplantae; Streptophyta; Magnoliopsida; Solanales; Solanaceae. The record is from RNAcentral.
UCCUCGUUCUUCAACAGCACCCCCCACCCCACGUUCCUCCUCUUCUUCUUCUUCAACAGCCCCCCACCCCGCUCCUCCUCCUCUCUCUCUUACAGAGACUUGCGGGAGGCUUGACCUGGAUAGGCAUAGAGGAUUCUGAGCAGAGUGGCCCGGAGAACAAGAAUGAUGAUCCCGUCCACUCCCUCCCCCCAAAAUUACCAUUGACGGACCCCAAAAUUACAAUAUUAAUUCCACCAACGACCAUCAUUGACGGACACAUCCUUCAAACCACUGCCUCCUCAAUUUCUAUUUAAAACACCAUUAACGAUCUCCAUUUCCACCAUUUUUUUCAGAUUCAUCAUCAUUUUUAAUGAUGAAACUUCUUUCAAUAUAAAAUGCACAACGCAACGCACAUAAACACAUCGUACUCAUAAUUCAAAGGCUACCUCAACAAAAUUAUUCAUAGAUGAGAUAUACAAUCGUAUAGCAGUAAGAAAAGUUGUCGGAAUUCAAUUUUUCCGAUGAGAGUGGGACUCCCACAUUUGCUCCUAAAAAAUGGGCAUGGAUUGAUAUUCUUAAGGAGCCCGCAAUUUUAUACAUCUAAUGAAUUUGUUAAUGAUGAAUUUUGAAAAAAAAAAAAAAAAGGUGAAUUUGAUUGUUGAG